CUUUUACGUCGGCCUUCGCGAGCGUCUGGGCGGGUGGUAGGAACAAUGGCGCUGUCUUCAGUGGCACAGUGGAGCAGCUCUGAAGAUGCAAAGAUACACGAAAAAACUUCCAGAACAUCUGGGAGAAUAUUUAAUGGAAAAUCGCUUGGUUAAAACCUGACACUUUUAACAGGUAUGUGUUGUUUUAGUACUUUAUGAUUGAGCAUAGCAUUUAAUCCACACCUAGACUAAAUCAAAUUUUUUUUGUCAGUGAACAGCGUUCUGAGUGUGGACGAGUAGCCAGUGAAGAUAAUGAAUGUCGAAUGUGACUGACUAGCAGCUUCAUUUUGAAGUAGGUUGUAUGGCUUAAAAGUUCUGUAGUAUUUGUACUAUAAUACUUGCCUUUUAGCAUUACCUUGGUUUGUAGUCAGUGUCACAGAAGUGCAGUUUAAUGUAUUAUGUGUACAUAUACAAGGUCUGAUUGGUCUAAUCAAUGAUGAAACCUAUCCCGAAGCUGAUAACCUGAAGAAAAAUAAGUACGGAUUCGGCUUCUGAGAUUAAGACCAGUAAUUCAGAGGUGGAGUAAAUUUUGUUGCCGUGAUUUUAUAACAGUUGUGUUAUAAAAUCCUGGGUUUUUUUUUUUUCUGCCAACAGUGAGGGUCGCUGUCUGCCCAUUGAUAGAGGCCAGAUUGUCUUGGAAGUUCCAAAGUUGCAACGAUUUCUGUAAGUGGAGUUUUUCUGUUUGCUUAGAGAUCAGUGAAUAUUGUGUCCUUGGUCUUAUCUGUGAUGAUCUUAUCCCGAACCUGAACUUCUGUUGAAAAAAAAAAACUUUUACGGAUCUGGCUUCUGAGAUGGACCGUUAUAAGGACAAUAUUUUUUUUUAAUACUUUUAAUGCUUUUACAUAUGUUGUAAUGUUUGUAGUCUUGUAAGAAUCUCGUGUUUUUCCUUUUCUAGGGCUAGUGCCACGAGGUUUACUUGACUGUUGUGUGAAAAGCUGAUAAGAAAACCAUCCAGAAAA
Molecule: long non-coding RNA, 998 nt
Filed under: Homo sapiens (human)
Lineage: Eukaryota; Metazoa; Chordata; Mammalia; Primates; Hominidae
Description: non-protein coding SNHG5:47
Rfam family: Small nucleolar RNA SNORD50 (bases 758-832)
Source: RNAcentral